CUCAGAGUGGAACAUCAUGGUGGAAUAUCACGGUGGAGUUAGAGAUACUUGCUGCAUGGCAGUUGGGAAGUGAAAGAAAGAAAAGUGGGAAUGGAGUCCCAUUGUCUUCUUGGAAGACACUCCUUCUCCAGUGACCUAACUCCCUCCAAGCAGGCUAUAUCUCCUAAAGGUCUUGCCACAUUCCAACAGGGCCAGCAUAGGGCCUUUGUGAGACCAAGGCUUAACACUUUCGGUCCUGAUUUUAAACAUCCACCAAUUGCAUGUGUCCUUUGUGUCUACAGUGAUCUCUUUAUACCUUCCUUUCCAUGAGGGUCAUUCCCUCUUUCCUGAAAGCCUUCUAUGUCUCUCCUCAUGCUUAGGCCACUCCUCUGAGGAUCUGGAUAACACUGCCUACCAGACCUGGGAGACUUGGGGUUUGAGGACUCAGCUGGGGAAACAGGCUGGGACAGGCCUGGCUUACUGGUGAUAGCAUCCCAUGGUCAUCCUUGCUUCUUACCAUGCCCACAACCAGACUGGAGAUGGUGAUGGAUUCACUAUGUGAUCAAUGGGACUGACCCAAAGCCAGGCUGAGGUUUCUUGGUGCCAGCUCCAAAGUCUGCACAGAUCCUGCCCACCUAAAAAGACUCAGUGCCUCAGCAAGUCUUUUGAAAGUCCCUUAAGAGAACAUCAAAGUGUCUAAGAUGGGAAAUAACGAAAUCAUUCAAGCUUAUUACAAGGGACAACCGAAUGGAAUCAUUGAAGAAUCCAGAAUCGUCUCGGGUCUUUCCCUUUAGGGGACAGAAGAUGGAGAAGGGAAACCACACACAGAGGUUUAAAUAAUAGGAGGCAAAAAAGAAACUAAUAUUGUCACAAUGGGUUUUCAGGAAAUCUCUGUCCCAGAGAAGUCACUCAUGAGCAUCCUGCAGUCUGGAAGCAAGUCCUGAGUUGGAGCAUAAACAGCUUAAGGUUAUGAGUGGAGAGGACUCAACCCGCUCACCGCAGGAUUCUGCACCUGGGGCCACGCCUCCCGCAACCACAGCCAUUAGCAGGGGAUACAAAUCUGGUCCCGAGGGAGCCUGGAGAAGUUUAAGGGACACAGUGUCGACUUCUUCUGGAAAU
This 1098-nucleotide long non-coding RNA is filed under the name Heterocephalus glaber (naked mole-rat). Its description in RNAcentral is "lncRNA (ENSHGLG00000039366.1)". Lineage: Eukaryota; Metazoa; Chordata; Mammalia; Rodentia; Bathyergidae. The record is from RNAcentral.